RNAcentral lists this transfer RNA (88 nucleotides) under Trichogloeopsis pedicellata. RNAcentral describes it as "tRNA-Ser". It matches the Rfam family "tRNA". From Rfam's summary of the family: Transfer RNA (tRNA) molecules are approximately 80 nucleotides in length. Their secondary structure includes four short double-helical elements and three loops (D, anti-codon, and T loops). The record is from RNAcentral. Lineage: Eukaryota; Rhodophyta; Florideophyceae; Nemaliales; Liagoraceae.
GGAAAGGUGGCUGAGUGGUUGAAAGCACAGCAUUGGAAAUGCUGUUUAGUUAUAUUGCUAACGAGGGUUCAAAUCCCUUCCUUUCCUU